Molecule: ribosomal RNA, 301 nt
Filed under: uncultured bacterium
Lineage: Bacteria
Description: partial 16S ribosomal RNA
Rfam family: Bacterial small subunit ribosomal RNA
Source: RNAcentral
CAGUAGCCGCGGUAAUACGUAGGUGGCAAGCGUUGUCCGGAAUUAUUGGGCGUAAAGGGCUCGCAGGCGGUUUCUUAAGUCUGAUGUGAAAGCCCCCGGCUCAACCGGGGAGGGUCAUUGGAAACUGGGAAACUUGAGUGCAGAAGAGGAGAGUGGAAUUCCACGUGUAGCGGUGAAAUGCGUAGAGAUGUGGAGGAACACCAGUGGCGAAGGCGACUCUCUGGUCUGUAACUGACGCUGAAGCACGAAAGCGUGGGGAGCAAACAGGAUUAGAUACCCGCGUAGUCCCUGUCUCUUAUAC